This 458-nucleotide ribosomal RNA is filed under the name uncultured soil bacterium. Its description in RNAcentral is "bacterial SSU rRNA". It matches the Rfam family "Bacterial small subunit ribosomal RNA", at positions 26 to 477 of the family's 1533-position model. The record is from RNAcentral.
AGAAUGAACGUUGGCGGCGUGGAUUAGGCAUGCGAGUCGUACGAGAACCCGCAAGGGGGAAAGUGGCGAACGGGGUAGUAAGGCGUAGGUGACGUGCCCUAUGGUCGGGGAUAGCUUAGGGAAACUUAAGGUAAUACUCGAUGAUCCCGGGAGGUUUGAAGACCAUCCGGGCAAAGGUGUGAUUCCAUCAUGGGAGCGGCUUGCGUGGUAUUAGCUAGUUGGUGAGGUAACGGCUCACCAAGGCUUCGAUGCCUAGGGGAUGUUAGCGCAUGAUCCCCACCACUGGGACUGAGAUACUGCCCAGACACCUACGGGUGGCUGCAGUCGAGAAUCUUCGGCAAAUGGGCGAAAGCCUAGACCGAGCGACGCCGCGUGUGGGAUGAACGGCCCGUUGGGUGUAAACCGACUGUCAGAGGGAUGAAAUGACAGUCGGGGUCCUCCCCGUGUGUUUGACUAUA